This 497-nucleotide ribosomal RNA is filed under the name uncultured bacterium. Its description in RNAcentral is "partial 16S ribosomal RNA". It matches the Rfam family "Bacterial small subunit ribosomal RNA", at positions 28 to 507 of the family's 1533-position model. The record is from RNAcentral.
GAUGAACGCUGGCGGCGUGCCUAAUACAUGCAAGUCGAGCGAACAGAUGAGGAGCUUGCUCCUCUGACGUUAGCGGCGGACGGGUGAGUAACACGUGGAUAACCUACCUAUAAGACUGGGAUAACUUCGGGAAACCGGAGCUAAUACCGGAUAAUAUAUUGAACAGCAUGGUGCAAUAGUGAAAGACGGUUUUGCUGUCACUUAUAGAUGGAUCCGCGCCGCAUUAGCUAGUUGGUAAGGUAACGGCUUACCAAGGCAACGAUGCGUAGCCGACCUGAGAGGGUGAUCGGCCACACUGGAACUGAGACACGGUCCAGACUCCUACGGGAGGCAGCAGUAGGGAAUCUUCCGCAAUGGGCGAAAGCCUGACGGAGCAACGCCGCGUGAGUGAUGAAGGUCUUCGGAUCGUAAAACUCUGUUAUUAGGGAAGAACAAAUGUGUAAGUAACUAUGCACGUCUUGACGGUACCUAAUCAGAAAGCCACGGCUAACUACGUG